GCGUAAUUAUUACAUUUUUAUAUGAAAAAUAGAGUAAAUAUAAAUUAAACAAAGUAUAACAUGCGUAGUUUUGAUUAAAUUAAUUUUCUUUAAUAUUAAAUAUAAAAAAAGAAGAUGUGGUAUGACUGCAAUUGAGACAACACUCCACAAGAGACCUAAUGACACAGAAAUAAAUAAGUCACCGUCAAAGCGCAUACGAACAGUCAGCUAUAAAAGUCUUUUAAUAGUAGUUGGUAAUGUGUUGUUUUAGUUGAUAGUACUGUAAACCAACUUAUUUUCGCGAGCGAUUUAUU
Molecule: long non-coding RNA, 293 nt
Filed under: Mytilus galloprovincialis (Mediterranean mussel)
Lineage: Eukaryota; Metazoa; Mollusca; Bivalvia; Mytilida; Mytilidae
Source: RNAcentral